RNAcentral lists this long non-coding RNA (2955 nucleotides) under Theobroma cacao (cacao). Its description in RNAcentral is "long non-coding RNA (TCAC_LNC006156)". The record is from RNAcentral. Lineage: Eukaryota; Viridiplantae; Streptophyta; Magnoliopsida; Malvales; Malvaceae.
AGAAAACAAAGGGGAAAAGAAAAACAAAAACCUAGGGGGAGAAAUUCAAGGAAAAAUUGGUGAAAAUUCAAGGAAACAAGUGACCAAAGGUAAAAUUUCUUGAUUUUGACUUGUGCUUUACCUUUCCCAUGCAUUUCCCAUCAUUUUCCAUGGUUGAAUCAUGUGAUUUGAGGAUGAAUUCAAUUCUGGAAAAAUGGGUUAGGAGAGAGAAACUUGUUAGAUUAAUUUGAUUUUAAGUUAUGUUAGUGUUUUAAGUUAGUUUAGCAUAUUUAGGAACAAAACAACAAGAAAAGAAUUUAUUUUCCUCCAUUACCAUUAUUGGCUGAAUUUUCUAGGGGAAUAUUGGCUGAUGAUCUUGAUGUUUAUUUGAGGAAUUAUGAUGAAUAAUGAUGAAUUAUGAGUCUAGAAAAAUAAUGGGAAUUUUCGGAGCAAAAAUAUGAAUUUUUACCCAUUAGGGGUAUUUUCGUAAUUUGCUAUCGGGACUGAUAAUUUGCACCACACUGAGGGACAUUAAGUCAAUUUGGGUGCAAUUGAGGUAUAGAAACUGAAAAAAAUUAAUUUGAGAUUAAAUUGGACGCGUUAGUAAUUUAAUCGGGUAAUAGGCCGAAUUAGGUCAGCACCGCAUUUAAGCGGUAGUCGGAUAAGUUGCAUGUCAUAUCAUGCAUAUAUACCGAGCCUGAAUUGAUUUUAUAAUGGUCAAGCAUUGAUGUGGUGAAUUAUGUAUUGUACAUUGUGGAUAGGUGGUGAGCAAAUUACACUGGUAAAAGUACCAAAAUUGUGCUUGAAGACUGGGAUUAGGAGUACAUCGACUCCUAGAACUGUGAGUGGACAAUUUAUCGUCUUAAAUAUCUAGAGUAAUUAUACUUGUUUGAUGCUUUUAUUGAAUGGUGAAUUUAAAUUAUAAAAUAUUAUGUUUUCCAAUUAAAAUGUUUUUUAAUAAAAAUGAGAUUUAUACUGGUUUUGAAAUCAAAUAUUGUUUUGGGAAAAUUGAGUAUAUGGAGACUGUGUUGAAAUUUAUGAUUUUAUAUGUUAUUGAAAUUGUGGCUUAUGACACUAUGGUAGCAUGAUGGCUAAAUUUUUGAGGUUGGCAUGAAAUAUAUGAACAGUUUUGGAUUGGUCUUGGUAGACUGGAUUACAUUUUAUUCGCCAUAUUAUGCUACUGGAAUUUUUAUGGGUCUGGUGGUAUAUUAAACGGUCACUGCAGUGGUGGGGGUUUCCGUGGUUUGCCUAUGAGAGGGGCACGGUAACUCAAUUAUAUAUUUACCUCCGGGGGGAGAUGUUGGGUGAAGUAUCUCCUGAGGUAUGAUUUGAGUGCACCUCACGUUCGGGCCACCACGUGAGAGUGAGACUCAGCCAACGCCAAGAAACGGCUGUGUGUUAGAUGUGAAAACAUGUUUAUGGGUAUGGGUCAUUGAACAGCCUUGGCGAUCUCAGUGGGAUACCUUGACGAAGGUACCCGCGAGAAUGAUUCUGGCAGGGGCUAAGUUUAAGAAAUUCAUAAGCCGAGAAAUUUUGAUGAAAAGAAAUUUUUUUGGUAUAGAUUGAAACGAAUUUUGUGUUAUGAACAUUAUUGAGAUAUAACGUUUUUAUAUUGUCUCCAUCUACUCGGCUUUAGAUGCUUUUGAUGGUAAUUGUUUUACUCACUGGGAUUAUUUAAUCUCACCCCUAUUCCUAUCCAUUUUUCAGGCUCAGGACAGUUGUUUGAUAGUUGAUUAAGACGAGAAUUAAUCUCGGAGUUGCAUCAUAGGAAGUAAGGGUUCGUAGCUCUACACCUUCUUGGUUAGUUGAGAGCCCACGUGUCAUUGUAAACUAAAUUUCAUACUUUAAUUAUCUUUAUUAUUAUAUGAAUAAAUUUAUUUUACUCUUACGCUGUAAAAGUAAUUUUAUUCUUCAGUUAUUUGAUUUAAAGUAUGUAUGAAUAUAUUUAGCUUUACACCAUAUUUUUGGCGAGUUUCGAUAUUUUCAAAAAAAAAAAUGAUGAAAAUGCCCCUGUGAGCUAGAAAAUAAUAUUUUAUUAUUUUGAGUUGAAAGCAACUUAUGAUUUCUUGAAAUGCGAGAUUUAAUAACUGUCACUCACCGGGGAGAUGCGGGAGUUGAUGCUAAGCUUUACGGGGUUUCGAUCGGUAUUCGGGGUAAUGAGUGCUUAUCGGGACGUCGCGGCGGUUGUCACAGGCUCAAUGGGAGUUUCGGGUCGUGACAUGAGGUGUAGUCGACCUUUAAUGAGUUGGUAGACAUGUUGAACUAGUGGGAGGCUAUGUUGGAAGGUUGAGGAAUGAGGCAUGUGAGCUCAAGGAUGAGCUUGUUGCCCUUAAGGAAACCAGAAGGGGUCGUGUGUCUCUUAACCAGAUGGGGGCUCGAUUGAAGGGGGCCCAAAUUUGAGUAAUUUCGAAACCAAAGGGAGGCCAAGGAGAUCGAUAAUUUCUUGAGGAGUCUAGAACAACAUUUUCAAGCCAUGGGGAUCAUGGAGAAUGUUUUGUGCACCUACAUUGUUGUAAUGUACCUAGUGUAUGCAGUUUUGCUGUGGUUGAAGUGACAAUGUAAUGACAAGCUUGGGGGAGUGAUCAUUCACACUUGGGAAGCAUGGGGAGUGAUAAUUCACACUUGGGAAGCAUUCUUUAGGGAGAUUUGAUAACAAUUCUACCUUGAAUAAGCCAAGGACAAAGCAAGGGGGAAGUUAUAAAUGUUGGUCUAAAAGGCCAAUAAAUGGUUUUCUUUUAUAUGGUAUGAUAUCUGGGUAGAGCAUUCAUGGAUGAUUAUCAUGUCUUUACUACAUGGAAUAUGUCAAGUUUUUCAUAUUGGAGUAUGUGAAGAAGCCUUGCUUUUUUAUUGUGAUUGUAAGGUUUUGAGAUUUUUUGACUCCACAGAGUAUUUGCCAAUUCAAUUAUCUUAUGAGGUUAAGGCCGAUUGACAUGUCCAUUAUCCAUGGAAGUAUGUCUUUGAAAGGUAUUGUGCUUU